AUGAACGCUGGCGGCGUGCCUAAUACAUGCAAGUCGAGCGAACGGACGAGAAGCUUGCUUUUCUGAUGUUAGCGGCGGACGGGUGAGUAACACGUGGAUAGCCUACCUAUAAGACUGGGAUAACUUCGGGAAACCGGAGCUAAUACCGGAUAAUAUUUUGAACCGCAUGGUUCAAAAGUGAAAGACGGUCUUGCUGUCACUUAUAGAUGGAUCCGCGCUGCAUUAGCUAGUUGGUAAGGUAACGGCUUACCAAGGCAACGAUGCAUAGCCGACCUGAGAGGGUGAUCGGCCACACUGGAACUGAGACACGGUCCAGACUCCUACGGGAGGCAGCAGUAGGGAAUCUUCCGCAAUGGGCGAAAGCCUGACGGAGCAACGCCGCGUGAGUGAUGAAGGUCUUCGGAUCGUAAAACUCUGUUAUUAGGGAAGAACAUAUGUGUAAGUAACUGUGCACAUCUUGACGGUACCUAAUCAGAAAGCCACGGCUAACUACGUG
This 496-nucleotide ribosomal RNA is filed under the name uncultured bacterium. Its description in RNAcentral is "partial 16S ribosomal RNA". It matches the Rfam family "Bacterial small subunit ribosomal RNA", at positions 29 to 507 of the family's 1533-position model. The record is from RNAcentral.